CAUUUUGGGCUCUUGGCAUCUGACCGGCAUUGACGGCCAUUUGCAUUAUUCACAAGACCAUGGUUAUACUGACCAGUUUCCGGUCUUUACUUCCGACUUCUGGCGAAUAAGCGCCCAUUAAGAAAAACAGAUUCAUUUUAUGACUGCCAUGUCACCGCCACAAAACAAGGUCGUGAAAUCAGUCACAUGGUGAAUGGCUUAACAACCGCCAUGAUUUGUGACCAUAACUCUAGUUAUGGUCAUAAGUCGAGGAUUAACUAUUAGGUUUUGGUUCACUGCGUUGCGUAGACCGCUCCACUUGGGAUAAACAGGAUUAAGUCUAGGCCAACCAGCAGAUGAAGACGGGCCCCUUCCCUGAGCACUCCAACCAGCUGUGGAACAUCAGCGCCGUCCCUUCGUGGUCCAAAGUCAACCAGGGGCUCAUCCGGAUGUACAAAGCCGAGUGCCUGGAGAAGUUCCCCGUCAUUCAGCACUUCAAAUUCGGCAGCCUGCUUCCUAUCCAGCCUGUCGCACCUUAAGGAGCUCUGUUGGUGAUGGGACCGCGGAAGGGGGGGGGGGGCCCUGGGGAGCAGGGGGGGGGGAAGGCUCCCCUUCCUAGUCACCCCAAAACCCCGCUGGCCUUGAUGCUCCUUCCUUUCGGCAGGACCCAGGCAGGACAUAACUGUCCAAGAAGACCCUGGCAUUGGCACAAAAAACCAAAAAAAAAAAAAAAAAAGGCAAGAGGUGGACUUGACUCCGGCCACACGAUGGUCCCCUCUUCUUCACCCCAUUUUUGUUUGCCCCAGGGUGGUUGGUGCUCUUAAGGUUGGGAGUGGGGGGGUAGUUUGCCUCUCUGAACUGUGCUGUAUAUUUUGCUGGGGAAAUACACUUGCUUUAAACUUAGAGACAAGCUGGACGUGCUGGCAUUCUUCCCAAGACUCCCUUCCCAAUCCUUCCACUUCUUGGCCCUGAUCCCCUUGGACAAAGAUCUCCAAACCUGGCCACUUUAAGACUUUUGGACUUCAACUCCCAGAAUUCCCCAACCAGCACGUGUUGUCUCCACUUGGGGAAACCACGUUUGAAGGGUUCAGAACAGACAAAGGGCAAAUUCAGAGAAAAGCAGCAAAAAAAGCAUUAUCUCUUGGUAGGAUACAUCAAGAAAAGGUUACAGAUUUAGAGUCCCAGAUUCUGCUCAGCGCCUGGUGAAAUUGACUAGACAGGAAGGUGAAAUUGACUAACUCUUGCUCUUUGUAAGAUCUAGUUCUGGAAAUUGACCUUGGGCUCGGUUUCAAUUCGGCAGGGGUCCUAGAUCUCGUGCAAUCUGCUUUUCCUUGAAUUUUGCUUCUUCCAAGUCACGAUUUGCAAAAAAUAACCUACAUCUAAAUAAGAGAACGGUGGUUAGACGCGAAGCCUCUUUGCGGGGCAGAAAACGGACAAAACGGGAAAUAGCUAAAACGGAAAUAUCUAUGCCGGCUGGGGAUCUCUGGGAGUUGAAAUCCAUACACCUUAAAAUUGAGAAACACUGGAUUGAAGUUAACAAGGUUUUGCCAACCAAAACCACAGGAUCUGCAUACACAGAGCACCCCUAACAGAUCAGGGGAAGACGGUCGCAUUCACACCAAAAACCUAAAGCACGCAGGCGAGGGAAUUAUGGGAAUUGACACCCACGCAUCUUUUAAAAACCCACCAAGAUUGAGAAACCCUGCUCCACACAAUGGCAGCCUCUUUAUUUUGAAAGCGUGGGUUGUCUCCCCCACUCCCCCACGCCAGCUUCCCAGCCACUUUUGCAAGCUGGAUAUUUAGCGAGGUGGGGGGAAAUUCCCUCUUGGACCCCCCCCCCCAAGGAACCAUGAAACCCGGUCCUUAAAAGGGAGUUGGGUGAGAAGGGGCAUCUGGUAAGCUUGAUCUGAAAGCUUCGUGGCCAGAGCAGUUCCUACUCUCCAUCCCACCUGGAGAAACCCAAGAGUAACUCUGUGCGUUGAGAGAUUGGCUAAGAUUUUUCCUUUUUCCACGUGGACCAGAGAGUUCUAGAUCUCCACACAAAGGAAGGGCGAAACGCUUCACCCCACCACCAAUUUUAAUAUUGUCCAUCGCUUUCGCCCACACCUUGAAAACAUUUUGGUAAAAAAACAGCCCCCACCCACCCAAAAAAAACCCAAAACACAACUCCA
Non-coding RNA from Notechis scutatus (mainland tiger snake), 2150 nucleotides. The record is from RefSeq and is a predicted model, not a curated record. Lineage: Eukaryota; Metazoa; Chordata; Lepidosauria; Squamata; Elapidae.